This 468-nucleotide ribosomal RNA is filed under the name uncultured bacterium. RNAcentral describes it as "partial 16S ribosomal RNA". It matches the Rfam family "Bacterial small subunit ribosomal RNA", at positions 28 to 507 of the family's 1533-position model. The record is from RNAcentral.
GACGAACGCUGGCGGCGUGCUUAACACAUGCAAGUCGAACGGAAAGACCCUGCUUUUGUGGGGUGCUCGAGUGGCGAACGGGUGAGUAACACGUGAGUAACCUGCCCUUGACUUUGGGGUAACUUCAGGAAACUGGGGCUAAUACCGGAUAGGAGCUCCUGCUGCAUGGUGGGGGUUGGAAAGUUUCGGCGGUUGGGGAUGGACUCGCGGCUUAUCAGCUUGUUGGUGGGGUAGUGGCUUACCAAGGCUUUGACGGGUAGCCGGCCUGAGAGGGUGACCGGCCACAUUGGGACUGAGAUACGGCCCAGACUCCUACGGGAGGCAGCAGUGGGGAAUAUUGCACAAUGGGCGGAAGCCUGAGGCAGCAACGCCGCGUGCGGGAUGACGGCCUUCGGGUUGUAAACCGCUUUCGCCUGUGACGAAGCGUGAGUGACGGUAAUGGGUAAAGAAGCACCGGCUAACUACGUG